CAAAGGGGAACCCUGAACAGCUGAAAGCUAGAAAGCCCUUAGCCAUGGUUUCCCCUCGAUUGACCUGUCCAAGGGGAUCCUCCAUCUUGCUUUGGGUUCUGGUCCUGGCCUGGGCCACAGUGGGUCAUGGGGAGGAUGUCCUGGACAGCCAGCACCUGGAGGAGGGCACGGAGGAAGGCUGGAAGGUGUCCCGUUUCUUCUGGAAGGCAGUGGAGCCCUUGCUGACCAAGGCCACGGAGAGCUGGAACUGGAUCCGGACACCCGGAACUGUGCGAGGCUAUCUGCAGACUUAUUAUGAAGAACAUGUCAAUGGGCUGGGCCUUCGAGCCCAGAACUGGGUCCACACAUCACGGGAGAAAGUUCAAAGGCUCUGUCUCUCGAGGUUUCUGUGGAAAUCCUUAGAGCCCCGG
This 410-nucleotide long non-coding RNA is filed under the name Monodelphis domestica (gray short-tailed opossum). Its description in RNAcentral is "lncRNA (ENSMODG00000041641.1)". The record is from RNAcentral. Lineage: Eukaryota; Metazoa; Chordata; Mammalia; Didelphimorphia; Didelphidae.